Molecule: ribosomal RNA, 317 nt
Filed under: Tylos sp. clade H MM-2013
Lineage: Eukaryota; Metazoa; Arthropoda; Malacostraca; Isopoda; Tylidae
Description: partial 16S large subunit ribosomal RNA
Source: RNAcentral
AUGAUUUGACGAAAGAAAAUCUGUCUUAGCUUAUUAAAAAAAAAUUAACCUAGAAGUUAAAAGGCUUCUAUUUCCUAAAGGGACGACAAGACCCUAUAAAGCUUUAUUUAUAAUAUUUUUAUUUAUUUCAAUAAAAAAUACAAAUUUAUAAAUUCUAUUGGGGCGAUAGAUAAAUAAACAUUAUUAACUAUAACGUUUUUAACGAAAUUUAUAAAAUGUUUUUAAAACCUACAACAAGUUACUUUAGGGAUAACAGCAUAAUUUCUUUUUAGAGUCCUUAUCGACAAAGAAGAUUAUGACCUCGAUGUUGGAUUAAG